GAUGAACGCUGGCGGCGUGCCUAAUACAUGCAAGUCGAGCGAACGGACGAGAAGCUUGCUUCCCUGAUGUUAGCGGCGGACGGGUGAGUAACACGUGGAUAACCUACCUAUAAGACUGGGAUAACUUCGGGAAACCGUAGCUAAUACCGGAUAAUAUUUUGAACCGCAUGGUUCAAAAGUGAAAGACGGUCUUGCUGUCACUUAUAGAUGGAUCCGCGCUGCAUUAGCUAGUUGGUAAGGUAACGGCUUACCAAGGCAACGAUGCAUAGCCGACCUGAGAGGGUGAUAGGCCACACUGGAACUGAGACACGGUCCAGACUCCUACGGGAGGCAGCAGUAGGGAAUCUUCCGCAAAGGGCGAAAGCCUGACGGAGCAACGCCGCGUGAGUGAUGAAGGUCUUCGGAUCGUAAAACUCUGUUAUUAGGGAAGAACAUAUGUGUAAGUAACUGUGCACAUCUUGACGGUACCUAAUCAGAAAGCCACGGCUAACUACGUG
RNAcentral lists this ribosomal RNA (497 nucleotides) under uncultured bacterium. RNAcentral describes it as "partial 16S ribosomal RNA". It matches the Rfam family "Bacterial small subunit ribosomal RNA", at positions 28 to 507 of the family's 1533-position model. The record is from RNAcentral.